AAAGAAUUAAUUUAAAAUAAAAUUUAGAUUUGUCAUAACUAAUACAUGCUUAAGCAUAUUCUUUU
RNAcentral lists this transfer RNA (65 nucleotides) under Yuukianura szeptyckii. RNAcentral's name for it is "tRNA-Asp". Lineage: Eukaryota; Metazoa; Arthropoda; Collembola; Poduromorpha; Neanuridae. The record is from RNAcentral.